GAAGACACGUUCAGAGUGAAAGAAGAGGAGGAUGUUACAUUAAAAGAAGAGGAGGAAGAGAAAGAGGAGGAUGCAGUUUUCAGAGUGAAAGAGGGGGAGGGGGAGAUGACUGUCACAUUGAAAGAAGAAGAGGUUGGAGAUCUGUUUAACACCAGAGAGAGAUGGGACUAUCGUGGAGCCUCAACAACCUCAUGAUGCUGACGAGGCAGAGAAGAGUCUCUCCACAUCAGAACACUUCAAGAAACACCAGCAGAGAUCCACAGGGAAGAGAACUCGCUGCUGCUCUGACUGUGGGAAGAGUUACUCAACAUCAGAUUCACAAAAAAUACACCAGAGAAUUCACACAGGUGAUAAAUCUCACCGCUGCUCUGAUUGUGGGAAAUGUUGCAAAUCUUCAUCAGAACUUAAAAUACACCUGAGAAAUCACACAGGAGAGAAACACUGUAGCUGUGAUGAAUGUGGGAAGAGUUUUGAUACAUCUAGCCAUCUUACUGUACACCAAAGGACUCACACAGGAGAGAAACCUUAUAGCUGUGAUCAAUGUGGGAAGAGUUUUACUCAGCUAAGCAGCCUGAUAACA
Molecule: long non-coding RNA, 580 nt
Organism: Oncorhynchus tshawytscha (Chinook salmon)
Lineage: Eukaryota; Metazoa; Chordata; Actinopteri; Salmoniformes; Salmonidae
Exons: 2
Source: RefSeq, a predicted model, not a curated record